GAUCAGUGAUGAAAACCUGAGCAUCAAAGGACCUUCCAGUCUGCUUUGAUGUNUGAUCUCCAUAGUUUUGAGA
RNAcentral lists this small nucleolar RNA (73 nucleotides) under Neotoma lepida (desert woodrat). Its description in RNAcentral is "Small nucleolar RNA U2-19". It matches the Rfam family "Small nucleolar RNA U2-19". From Rfam's summary of the family: U2-19 is a member of the C/D class of snoRNA which contain the C (UGAUGA) and D (CUGA) box motifs. The record is from Rfam by way of RNAcentral. Lineage: Eukaryota; Metazoa; Chordata; Mammalia; Rodentia; Cricetidae.